UCGAGAAUAAUUCACAAUGGGGGCAACCCUGAUGGUGCAACGCCGCGUGGAGGAUGACGGUCUUCGGAUUGUAAACUCCUGUCAUCCGGGAGUAAGACCUGGUCGUUAAUAGCGAACAGGGUUGAUAGUACCGGAAGAGGAAGGGACGGCUAACUUCGUGCCAGCAGCCGCGGUAAUACGAAGGUCCCGAGCGUUGUUCGGAAUCACUGGGCGUAAAGGGAGCGUAGGCGGCGCGGUAAGUCAGAUGUGAAAUCCCGGGGCUCAACCCCGGAACUGCAUCCGAUACUGCCGUGCUAGAGGAUUGGAGAGGUAGCUGGAAUUCUUGGUGUAGCAGUGAAAUGCGUGGAUAUCAAGAGGAACACUCGUGGCGAAAGCGAGCUACUGGACAACUCCUGACGCUGAGGCUCGAAGGCCAGGGUAGCGAAAG
Molecule: ribosomal RNA, 427 nt
Filed under: uncultured bacterium
Lineage: Bacteria
Description: bacterial SSU rRNA
Rfam family: Bacterial small subunit ribosomal RNA
Source: RNAcentral